AGCCCCAGCCCCGAGCCAGCUGCCUGCACACCAGCCCCAGAAUUGCCUACAGAGCAACACAGAGUUUCUUUGGAACAAGGAGCAACAUUUAAUAUCCGUGAGAAGACAGCUGAUGGAAAAUGCAUGGUUAGCGGUCUUGAGGAACAGAAUCACAUAUAAAUAAUGAAAGACGUGCCAUGGUCCGGAUACUUGUGUCCCACUUAAUUAAGCGCUUUGGAGAGAAUCCAUCUUCAGGUGCAAAGGCUAUGCUGGCAUCAUCAAUUGUGGAUCAGUUUCCAUGCCUGAGGGACUGUCAAGGCACAGGCUAUGACGCAUGGUUCACCCCAGGGAGAGGGCAUAAACCCGCAACAGGCUUUCUGGAAGAGCAUCUCCGCAGUGUCUGAAAAAGGCUCCACUCUGGCAGACGAGUAAAUCUAACAUCCCAAGUGCCACAAGACACCCGAGUCAUUUUGCCAGAACCAACUAGAACUCCAGAGCGGGCCAUCCAAUUGACGGAGUGACUGAAAAAUAACAUCUGGCCACAGUCCCAGGUUGGCCAACACAUGUUGGAGACUGCCAUCCAUAGGGCACAGUGGAUCCGAGCAAAUGGGACUACAUCAAUGCUAGACAUUAUCAGAGUUUCCACGCUUAAUGGACACUCACAGGCAUGGUGAGCUAGAAUCUUACAAAAUUACUUGCGUGUUGUGGUGCUGGGAUUGUUGUUCGAUGUCAACUUUGUGCUAAAGUUUGGGAGUUCAUCUAGACUACCGUCUUUCAGAUACCAGGACAUGAAUCAAACACUGUCAAAUUAAUGAGUGCUCAGAUUGCUAGUUGAUAGUUCAAUGUAUGAAGUUUGAGAAAUUGUGACUAUUUUGUCCGUUUAAUGAUGUAAUAAGUGAAUGCACACAUCAUAUGUUUUAAGUCAGAAAUUGUAAAAUUACUUUUGUAUUCUUUUAUACAACUUUUAAUGUUAACUGAAAUAAAUUGAAAUGUUUAAUUUUGUCUUAAGUGAUAUAUUUGGCUUGUAGCAAUAAAACCAAAAUGCUG
Sander lucioperca (pikeperch) is the source of this 1026-nucleotide long non-coding RNA. RefSeq lists it as uncharacterized. NCBI's taxonomy places the organism in Eukaryota, Metazoa, Chordata, Actinopteri, Perciformes, Percidae. The record is from RefSeq and is a predicted model, not a curated record. The transcript is spliced from 5 exons.